GGGAAAGUGGCUCAAUGGUAGAGUGCUUGCCUUGCAUGCAUGAAGCCCUGGGUUCAAUUCCUCAGCACCA
Non-coding RNA from Dipodomys ordii (Ord's kangaroo rat), 70 nucleotides. NCBI's taxonomy places the organism in Eukaryota, Metazoa, Chordata, Mammalia, Rodentia, Heteromyidae. The record is from Rfam.